CCUACGGGGGGCAGCAGUGAGGAAUAUUGGUCAAUGGCCGGAAGCCUGAACCAGCCAAGUAGCGUGAAGGAUGACUGCCCUAUGGGUUGUAAACCGCUUUUAUGCGGGGAUAAAGCUGUCUACGUGUAGAUGUUUGCAUGUACCGUAUGAAUAAGGACCGGCUAAUUCCGUGCCAGCAGCCGCGGUAAUACGGAAGGUCCGGGCGUUAUCCGGAUUUAUUGGGUUUAAAGGGAGCGUAGGCCGGAUGUUAAGCGUGCCGUGAAAUUUUGGGGCUCAACCCUGGGCGUGCAGCGCGAACUGGAGAGCUUGAGUCCGCGGAAGGCAGGCGGAAUUCGUGGUGUAGCGGUGAAAUGCUUAGAUAUGACGAAGAACCCCGAUUGCGAAGGCAGCUUGCUGCAGCGGUACUGACGCUGAUGCUCGAAAGCGCGGGUAUCGAACAGGAUUAGAUACCCGAGUAGUC
RNAcentral lists this ribosomal RNA (460 nucleotides) under uncultured bacterium. RNAcentral describes it as "partial 16S ribosomal RNA". It matches the Rfam family "Bacterial small subunit ribosomal RNA", at positions 338 to 795 of the family's 1533-position model. The record is from RNAcentral.